Molecule: small RNA, 475 nt
Filed under: Arabidopsis thaliana (thale cress)
Lineage: Eukaryota; Viridiplantae; Streptophyta; Magnoliopsida; Brassicales; Brassicaceae
Description: ATSL218960
Source: RNAcentral
UAAUUAGUAUCUCCUUUUUAGUUUUUACAAUACAAUCGGACCAAAUCAUUGUUAGAAUAUAAGAAAUAAACUCUUACAUAAAUAGGUACUAAGCAAAUGUUUCUAAGUGUACUUUGGCUAGAAGACAAGAUUUACCUUGACAAGUAUGUUGGAUCAGGCCCGACUCUACACAUGUGCUGGAGGAGCUGAGGCACAGGGUCCACCCAAAAUUUCUCUUUUUUUUAAAGUAAAUCUAGUACAAUUACGAUCCAAAAAAAAAUUUACAUAACAAAACACAGAUAUGUGAACUAAUUUUUUUUCCAGCUCUGGGUCCUUUAUUAUUUUGAGCCGACCAUGUGUUGAAUAGACAAUAAUUAUGCAUCAUAAUACAACUCAAUGUGAAACACACGAUCUUCGAAUUUGCUGAAAAUAUGAAAAUAUGAUGAAAGUUAUUUCCCCAACAAACACAUUUGCCCAGUAAACCUUGUUUUCAUAU